Long non-coding RNA from Oncorhynchus keta (chum salmon), 151 nucleotides. RefSeq lists it as uncharacterized. The record is from RefSeq and is a predicted model, not a curated record. NCBI's taxonomy places the organism in Eukaryota, Metazoa, Chordata, Actinopteri, Salmoniformes, Salmonidae. The transcript is spliced from 3 exons.
GGAGUAACAGUUUGAGGUGGAUCCCAGCCUAUUGAAUAACAGUUUGAGGUGGAUCCCAGCCUAUUGAGUAACAGUUUGAGGUGGAUCCCAGCCUAUUGAAUAACAGUUUGAGGUGGAUCCCAGCCUAUUGAAUAACAGUUUGAUGUGGAUC